UACGAGGGGGGCGAGCGUGUUCGGAAUUAUUGGGCGUAAAGGGUGCGUAGGCGGUUCCGCAAGUCCUGUGUGAAAUCUUCGGGCUCAACUCGAAGUCUGCACGGGAACUGCGGGCUUGAGUGUGGGAGAGGUGAGUGGAAUUCCCGGUGUAGAGGUGAAAUUCGUAGAUAUUGGGAAGAACACCGGUGGCGAAGGCGGCUCACUGGCUCGGUUUCUGACGCUCAGGCGCGACAGCGUGGGGAUCGAAACAGG
RNAcentral lists this ribosomal RNA (252 nucleotides) under uncultured bacterium. Its description in RNAcentral is "partial 16S ribosomal RNA". It matches the Rfam family "Bacterial small subunit ribosomal RNA", at positions 524 to 776 of the family's 1533-position model. The record is from RNAcentral.